This 74-nucleotide transfer RNA is filed under the name Thermoplasmata archaeon. RNAcentral describes it as "tRNA-Met". It matches the Rfam family "tRNA". Rfam says of the family: Transfer RNA (tRNA) molecules are approximately 80 nucleotides in length. The record is from RNAcentral. Lineage: Archaea; Methanobacteriati; Thermoplasmatota; Thermoplasmata.
GCCGGGGUAGCUCAGCUGGUUAGAGCGCCGGACUCAUAAUCCGGAGGUCGCGGGUUCGAAUCCCGCCCCCGGCA